GUGCAUUCAGACCUCACACACCGGAUGCUCAAGGCAGUUGUGGUGUAUUAGAGAUGGAGUUCCCAUUGACAAACAUUAUACGACUGACAGACCGCAACGGUUGGAGUUAAAAAUCAUCAUUUGUGUUCUACUGAAGAAACAAAGUCACCUACAUCUUGGAUGCCCUGGGGGUGUUUUAGGAGAAACAUCAGGAAGAAAAUGGAUUCUGCAAUAACAUUGUCCUCUCAACGUGGAUUUAUUUUUGAAAGUCAGACAC
Long non-coding RNA from Ctenopharyngodon idella (grass carp), 256 nucleotides. RefSeq lists it as uncharacterized. The transcript has 3 exons. The record is from RefSeq and is a predicted model, not a curated record. NCBI's taxonomy places the organism in Eukaryota, Metazoa, Chordata, Actinopteri, Cypriniformes, Xenocyprididae.